UGAAACGGCGUAAUCGUAAUGUAAAUUGUAAAACUUUCUAACAAGUAACAACAAAAAACAAUCGAACAAUCAAAUUUAAACUGUUUGCGGUUUGUAGUUUGUACUUUGUCCCUAAGCUCCAUAAACGAUCCAUCAUGAGUUCCAUGAGAAAUUCUGUUGAUGAGUCUUCGACAGCGCCAUCAGAUUCACCAUGUGCAAUAUGUCUGGGAAAGGUUGAAAACAAGUGCUUUGCCAAUAAUUGUCUUCAUGAGUUCUGCUACAGUUGUUUAUUUAGAUGGUCCAAGGAAAAAACAAAAUGCCCGCUAUGUAUGCAACCAUUCAGCUCAAUUAUUCACAACAUCAGAUCUAACAAUGACUAUGAUGAACAAACAAUCCAGUCAACUGAUGAUAUUGUUUCAGAUGAGCCUUUUUUACAGCGGUUUCUACAGUUUAUUUUGUCUACCCAGGCAAACCUUCAAACUCUAGAAUCUACACUCCAAACAAAUUCAGACUCGCGUCAUUCUGGUCAUAUUCAUGAGCUUCGUCAAGCUCUAUUAGAGUUGAUGAAUGAAAGGCAAAAUAUCAUGUCUCCCAAUUCUUCUGCUGCUAUUGUUGAUAAUCUGUUGGAUACAGACAACAGAAAUGAUAUUGAGAUUGUAGAAGUGAUGAGAAGAGGAAGAUUUCAUCCCAUUUUUGAUGAAAUUACGCUUUCCGACGACGAAUAGUAUGUAUGACGAAAUUUCCAUAUCGGGCCCAAGACUUGUGAAGCACAAGCGACCUCUACUGUUUUUCUGUUAGAGAUAUUUCUCUUAAGCUUCCACCCACUCGAAUCUUUAUAUAGGUGCACUGUGGAAAUUUGUUGUGGAACUUCCUUUGUCAUAUAUUCCAGUCGUUAUCGGCUUCGUUGAAUUUUCCCCAGCUCCUCCUUCUGCAGGUUACUUUUAUUGACUAUAUUUGUCCACAGUUUACCAAAUGCGUUCUACAGAGAGUCCGUGGAUCUCUGAACAUUGCCUUUCCCAGCCUUUCCGUAGAAUCGAUUCGUUUGAUUAGUUCAAAUCUUCCAACUCUUCCCCAAAUUUCCUUUUUUUUUUAGUUUUUUCGAGUAACGACAAAGUUUCAAGUUGGGGAAAUUAAACGCCACGUGCACCACGUUUAGCAUUUCUAUCUCGAAAGGAAUAGAAUGUUUUAAUUGUCCAACUUUUUUCUCUAUGUAUACAGCAACAAGUAUCGAUUUCUGAAAACCUAGGAAUUUGCUUGAAAUUAAUAAAUUAGGAAAUAUUAGAAUCUAGCUUUUACGCCAUCACCAAUAGAAAGUAAAAAAAAAAACGAAGUAAUCUUUAUUUUACCCUUUGCUGAUCGUAUUGAGGUUAUGGAGCAGUUUUCAGUGAAAAUCGUUUGUGCAAUCCUAGAUUUUCUAGAAUAUUGUCUAUGUUAUUUUUGAGAACAGAAAUAAUGUCGUAUAUGGGAAUCUUUGCCACUUUAAAUUGCGCUUUUGAAAGACCCUUUUUUUAUAGAAAUAGCGAAAAAAAUUCAAUUCCAUCCCGAAAAUUUUUCCCAAUUUUUUAAAAGCGUUUAGACCCUAGUGUGUAAUAGGUGUAUUUAGCGUCAAUAUAAUGACAGGGAAAGACUUUCUACAGUAAACUGUCCAUCGACGAUAGUGAAUCACUAAAGAGACGUCGAGCAACUCUGCAAUUUCCUGUCUAUCUCGUGAAAAAUCUAAGCGCCCCAAUCCGUAGCUCGAGUUUGUAUCGAUUUCGUUGCUUUGCUCGUAACUGCGUGCUCAAGAAUGAUGCUAAGACAAACUCAGAAAUGUUGGUGUUACGUUCGCUUGUCGGAACAGAAAAGAACAGACAACAAACAAGAAACUACUCGAGGAUUCAUUUAGCCGGAACUUGUUUCAACGACCCUCUAGAGUUGCAUCUCUACACAAAGACAACCGACGGUCUCAAACGAGCGAAUUUCGUAAUUCUCGAGCUCUAAAUAAUUUCUGCCUCCACUUUCCUCUUCGGGGUAUGACACAGUGCAAUUUCUAUAUUUCGCCCCAAAAAAUUACCCCGUUUCCUUUCCUCGUCCUUGGCGGCCGGAACCUGGCCAUUUGGCCAAGACGGAGAACAGAUUAUUGGCCAUGUUUGUCAAAAACCUGGCAGCGUUCCGGUCAUUAUGGGCGUGUACACGGCGCUGUUCGUCAGCAUCAGGCGGACGAAGACGGCCACGCCGCUGGCGCCCAACGAAAUUGAAAUGGCCGUCCGCUUCUUUUUCAUCGUCUUCUCUGACUGCCUCUGCUGGAUGCCCUUUUGAAAAUCAUGGCGCUGGCCAACGUCUACAUUCCCGGCGAUUUGUACUCAUGGCUGGUCGUUUUCAUCUUGCCCGUCUAAUCGGCCAUCCAUCUUCUUCUGUACAUGUUCACUACACCGAUAUUUCGUGCGGCCGUUCGUGAUUUCUUUUACCGGUUCGCCCUUCUGAGACCUGACUGGACCAGCGCGGCCACCAGCAGCAUAGGACGUACAACUAUGGUUCGUGGAGUUCGACCAAGCAUCAGUUUCCGCCAGAACAAUUUCAACCAAUCAUCGACGCAAGGCAAUCACGUUCCAGUGACAAUUGAAGAAGAAGGCCGACCGCAUAUCGAUCUGGUGUUGUUGGAAUCUAAGCUGAAACCAUCGUGUUGCAACAACAACAACAACCGAAAGCCAAGUCGCUGUGGAGAAGCGGAGUCAAACCUGCCAGUCAUUUCAUCGAAUCCCUGUAGAUUCGGAGCCCGUCAAUCAACCCCUUCAAAGUUGUGUCUGUAAAUAUAUAAUACUUAAAGUUAAAAUGAAAAUAACUCUUUUGUGAAUGCAGAUUCAUUAAUGUAUUUGUGAAACUGGUAAUACUUUACACCCCUCUGCUGUAUCUGUAUUCUGUAUACGUGUGGAUGAAUGAAUCAACGGCUGUAUAAAUAUUUGACUUUUGA
This 2929-nucleotide unclassified non-coding RNA is filed under the name Daphnia pulicaria. Its description in RNAcentral is "e3 ubiquitin-protein ligase Topors-like, transcript variant X3". The record is from RNAcentral. Lineage: Eukaryota; Metazoa; Arthropoda; Branchiopoda; Diplostraca; Daphniidae.